AACAAAUAUGCGAGAGAUCUGUACACUGUAAAUGUAAAUA
RNAcentral lists this non-coding RNA (40 nucleotides) under Trypanosoma brucei brucei. The record is from RNAcentral. Lineage: Eukaryota; Euglenozoa; Kinetoplastea; Trypanosomatida; Trypanosomatidae.